UUUUAAGAUAUCCGGUGAUCACAGUACUAUAGCUGCUGGCGAGAAUGAAAUUGUUGGUGUUGAAGAGGAUGGUGGCGGGAAUAACACAUCCAACCCACUCUUGAGCACGGAUGAGGAAGAAACAGAUUCAUCUGAAAGGAGUUUUGUUUUCCGGAAAAGACCCCCCAUUAGUAAGGAAACAGAGGAGGAUUCUUCCAGCGAUAGUUUCGUUUUCCGGAAGACUGCAAAAGUAGACCAAUAAAGAUAGUUCAAAUAAU
Molecule: long non-coding RNA, 257 nt
Organism: Patella vulgata (common limpet)
Lineage: Eukaryota; Metazoa; Mollusca; Gastropoda; Patellidae
Exons: 3
Source: RefSeq, a predicted model, not a curated record